CCUACGGUGAGCAGCAGUGGGGAAUAUUGGACAAUGGGCGAAAGCCUGAUCCAGCCAUGCCGCGUGUGUGAAGAAGGCCUUCGGGUUGUAAAGCACUUUCAGUGGGGAAGAAAGCCUUGGGGCUAAUACCCUCGAGGAAGGACAUCACCCACAGAAGAAGCACCGGCUAACUCCGUGCCAGCAGCCGCGGUAAUACGGAGGGUGCGAGCGUUAAUCGGAAUUACUGGGCGUAAAGCGCGCGUAGGCGGUCUGAUAAGCCGGUUGUGAAAGCCCCGGGCUCAACCUGGGAACGGCAUCCGGAACUGUCAGGCUAGAGUGCAGGAGAGGAAGGUAGAAUUCCCGGUGUAGCGGUGAAAUGCGUAGAGAUCGGGAGGAAUACCAGUGGCGAAGGCGGCCUUCUGGACUGACACUGACGCUGAGGUGCGAAAGCGUGGGUAGCAAACAGGAUUAGAUACCCGAGUAGUC
This 465-nucleotide ribosomal RNA is filed under the name Vreelandella stevensii. RNAcentral's name for it is "partial 16S ribosomal RNA". It matches the Rfam family "Bacterial small subunit ribosomal RNA", at positions 338 to 795 of the family's 1533-position model. The record is from RNAcentral. Lineage: Bacteria; Pseudomonadati; Pseudomonadota; Gammaproteobacteria; Oceanospirillales; Halomonadaceae.